RNAcentral lists this ribosomal RNA (666 nucleotides) under Arthrobacter sp. BS20. RNAcentral describes it as "bacterial SSU rRNA". It matches the Rfam family "Bacterial small subunit ribosomal RNA", at positions 34 to 715 of the family's 1533-position model. The record is from RNAcentral. Lineage: Bacteria; Bacillati; Actinomycetota; Actinomycetes; Micrococcales; Micrococcaceae.
CGCUGGCGGCGUGCUUAACACAUGCAAGUCGAACGAUGAUGCCCACUUGUGGGUGGAUUAGUGGCGAACGGGUGAGUAACACGUGAGUAACCUGCCCUUGACUCUGGGAUAAGCCUGGGAAACUGGGUCUAAUACCGGAUAUGACCUUCCAUCGCAUGGUGGUUGGUGGAAAGCUUUUGUGGUUUUGGAUGGACUCGCGGCCUAUCAGCUUGUUGGUGGGGUAAUGGCCUACCAAGGCGACGACGGGUAGCCGGCCUGAGAGGGUGACCGGCCACACUGGGACUGAGACACGGCCCAGACUCCUACGGGAGGCAGCAGUGGGGAAUAUUGCACAAUGGGCGCAAGCCUGAUGCAGCGACGCCGCGUGAGGGAUGACGGCCUUCGGGUUGUAAACCUCUUUCAGUAGGGAAGAAGCGUAAGUGACGGUACCUGCAGAAGAAGCGCCGGCUAACUACGUGCCAGCAGCCGCGGUAAUACGUAGGGCGCAAGCGUUAUCCGGAAUUAUUGGGCGUAAAGAGCUCGUAGGCGGUUUGUCGCGUCUGCCGUGAAAGUCCGGGGCUCAACUCCGGAUCUGCGGUGGGUACGGGCAGACUAGAGUGAUGUAGGGGAGACUGGAAUUCCUGGUGUAGCGGUGAAAUGCGCAGAUAUCAGGAGGAACACCGAUGG